RNAcentral lists this ribosomal RNA (119 nucleotides) under Paenirhodobacter enshiensis. The record is from RNAcentral. Lineage: Bacteria; Pseudomonadati; Pseudomonadota; Alphaproteobacteria; Rhodobacterales.
GGUUUGGUGGUCAUAGCGCUGGCUAAACACCCGAUCCCUUCCCGAACUCGGCCGUUAAGGGCCAACACGCCAAUGGUACUGCGUCUUAAGACGUGGGAGAGUAGGUCACCGCCAAACCU